GACGAACGCUGGCGGCGCGCUUAACACAUGCAAGUCGAACGGAAAGGCCUGCUUUCCCUUGUGGAUUGCGGGUACUCGAGUGGCGAACGGGUGUGUAACACGUGAGUGAUCUGCCCCCAACUUGGGUAUAAGCCUGGGAAACUGGGUCUAAUUCCCGAUAGGACUGCAGGGUGGUGCCUGUGGUGGAAAACGAUUUUCUAGUGGUUGGGGAUGAGCUCGCGGCCUAUCAGCUUGUUGGUGGGGUAAUGGCCUACCAAGGCGGCGACGGGUAGCCGGGCUGAGGGGGUGGACGGGCACAGUGGGACUGAGAUACGGCCCAGGCUCCGACGGGAGGCAGCAGUGGGGAAUAAGGGACGGUGGGCGGAAGCCUGAUGCAGCGACGCCGCGUGGGGGAUGACGGGCUUCGGGUUGUAAACUCCUUUCGACCGCGAGGAAGCCACCUGGUUGGAAGGGUGGUGACGGUAGUGGUAGAAGAAGCACCGGCUAACUACGUG
This 494-nucleotide ribosomal RNA is filed under the name uncultured bacterium. RNAcentral describes it as "partial 16S ribosomal RNA". It matches the Rfam family "Bacterial small subunit ribosomal RNA", at positions 28 to 507 of the family's 1533-position model. The record is from RNAcentral.